GAUGAACGCUGGCGGCGUGCCUAACACAUGCAAGUCGAACGGGACUUAAUUAGCUUGCUAUUUAAGUCUAGUGGCGGACGGGUGAGUAACGCGUGAGCAAUCUGCCCCGAAGAGGGGGACAACACUGGGAAACCGGUGCUAAUACCGCAUAAUAUAUAUGGACCGCAUGGAACAUAUAUCAAAGGAGAAAUCCGCUUUGGGAUGAGCUCGCGUCUGAUUAGCUGGUUGGCAGGGUAACGGCCUACCAAGGCGACGAUGGGUAGCCGGCCUGAGAGGGUGUACGGCCACACUGGGACUGAGAUACGGCCCAGACUCCUACGGGAGGCAGCAGCUAAGAAUAUUCCGCAAUGGACGAAAGUCUGACGGAGCGACGCCGCGUGGAUGAAGAAGGCCGAAAGGUUGUAAAGUUCUUUUGCUAGGGGAGAAUAAGUGAGGGAGGGAAUGCCCUCAUGAUGACAAGGACUAGCGAAUAAGCCCCGGCCAACUACGUG
This 491-nucleotide ribosomal RNA is filed under the name uncultured bacterium. Its description in RNAcentral is "bacterial SSU rRNA". It matches the Rfam family "Bacterial small subunit ribosomal RNA", at positions 28 to 507 of the family's 1533-position model. The record is from RNAcentral.